UACGUAGGUGGCAAGCGUUGUCCGGAAUUAUUGGGCGUAAAGCGCGCGCAGGCGGUCCUUUAAGUCUGAUGUGAAAGCCCACGGCUCAACCGUGGAGGGUCAUUGGAAACUGGGGGACUUGAGUGCAGGAGAGAAGAGUGGAAUUCCACGUGUAGCGGUGAAAUGCGCAGAUAUCAGGAGGAACACCAAUGGCGAAGGCAGCUCGCUGGGACGGUACUGACGCUGAGGCGCGAAAGCGUGGGGAGCAAACAGG
RNAcentral lists this ribosomal RNA (253 nucleotides) under uncultured bacterium. RNAcentral's name for it is "partial 16S ribosomal RNA". It matches the Rfam family "Bacterial small subunit ribosomal RNA", at positions 524 to 776 of the family's 1533-position model. The record is from RNAcentral.